This 403-nucleotide ribosomal RNA is filed under the name uncultured bacterium. RNAcentral describes it as "bacterial SSU rRNA". It matches the Rfam family "Bacterial small subunit ribosomal RNA", at positions 355 to 776 of the family's 1533-position model. The record is from RNAcentral.
UCGGGAAUAUUGGACAAUGGGGGAAACCCUGAUCCAGCGAUGCCGCGUGAAUGAUGAAGGUCCAAGGAUUGUAAAGUUCUUUCACCUGUGAAGAUGAUGACUGUAACAGGAAAAGAAGCACCGGCUUAGUCUGUGCCAGCAGCCGCGGUAAUACAGACGGUGCAAGUGUUGCUCGGAUUUACUGGGCGUAAAGGGUGCGUAGGUGGUUUUGUAAGUAAGAUGUGAAAAGCACAAGCUUAACUUGUGUAAGCAUUUUAUACUGCAAAACUAGAGUAUGAAAGAGGGAGUAGGAAUUUCUAGAGUAGCGGUGAAAUGCAUAGAUCCUAGAAGGAACACCAACGGCGAAGGCAAUCUCCUGGGUCAUUACUGACACUGAGGCACGAAAGCGUGGGUAGCAAACAGG